This 225-nucleotide non-coding RNA is filed under the name Bacillus sp. (in: firmicutes). RNAcentral describes it as "Bacillus sp. T-box sequence". It matches the Rfam family "T-box leader". Rfam says of the family: Uncharged tRNA acts as the effector for transcription antitermination of genes in the T-box leader family. T-boxes are found upstream of many aminoacyl-tRNA synthetase genes and some amino acid biosynthetic genes usually in Gram-positive bacteria. The anticodon of a specific tRNA base pairs to a specifier sequence within the T-box motif, and the NCCA acceptor tail of the tRNA base pairs to a conserved bulge in the T-box antiterminator hairpin. Lineage: Bacteria; Bacillati; Bacillota; Bacilli; Caryophanales; Bacillaceae. The record is from RNAcentral.
GUUAAAGCAAUGAGAGGAAUUAGUAACAAGAGGUUCGUUCUAAAGAGAGCCGGUGGCUGGUGUAAACCGGUGAAUGACACUUGUGAAUCCAUCCUUGAGUAAAGUACGGAAUACUCCGGUUUUAGGAGUUAGUAAGUACUUUCGGUAUUAAACCGUUAUUUUUAAUGAGGUGGACAGCAGCUGUUGUCAACCAGGGUGGUAACGCGGGUAACUCUCGUCCCUGUU